RNAcentral lists this ribosomal RNA (253 nucleotides) under uncultured bacterium. RNAcentral's name for it is "partial 16S ribosomal RNA". It matches the Rfam family "Bacterial small subunit ribosomal RNA", at positions 524 to 776 of the family's 1533-position model. The record is from RNAcentral.
UACGGAGGUGGCAAGCGUUGUUCGGAAUUACUGGGCGUAAAGGGCGCGUAGGCGGCUAGGCAAGUCAGGUGUGAAAGCCCCGAGCUUAACUCGGGAAUUGCAUCUGAAACUGCUGUGCUUGAGUUCUGGAGGGGGUAGUGGAAUUCCCAGUGUAGCGGUGAAAUGCGUAGAUAUUGGGAGGAACACCUGCGGCGAAGGCGGCUACCUGGACAGAAACUGACGCUGAGACGCGAAAGCGUGGGGAGCAAACAGG